RNAcentral lists this ribosomal RNA (213 nucleotides) under uncultured bacterium. RNAcentral's name for it is "partial 16S ribosomal RNA". It matches the Rfam family "Bacterial small subunit ribosomal RNA", at positions 1288 to 1500 of the family's 1533-position model. The record is from RNAcentral.
CCAGUUCGGACUGCAGGCUGCAACUCGCCUGCACGAAGUUGGAAUUGCUAGUAAUCGCGGAUCAGCAUGCCGCGGUGAAUACGUUCCCGGGUCUUGUACACACCGCCCGUCACACCAUGGGAGUCGGAAAUGCCCGAAGUCUGUGACCUAACCGUAAGGAAGGAGCAGCCGAAGGCAGGUCGGAUGACUGGGGUGAAGUCGUAACAAGGUAAC